AGCCCAACUAAUAUCGAGGUGUAC
RNAcentral lists this non-coding RNA (24 nucleotides) under Arabidopsis thaliana (thale cress). The record is from RNAcentral. Lineage: Eukaryota; Viridiplantae; Streptophyta; Magnoliopsida; Brassicales; Brassicaceae.